Molecule: ribosomal RNA, 465 nt
Filed under: Vreelandella stevensii
Lineage: Bacteria; Pseudomonadati; Pseudomonadota; Gammaproteobacteria; Oceanospirillales; Halomonadaceae
Description: partial 16S ribosomal RNA
Rfam family: Bacterial small subunit ribosomal RNA
Source: RNAcentral
CCUACGGGAGGCAGCAGUGGGGAAUAUUGGACAAUGGGGGGAACCCUGAUCCAGCCAUGCCGCGUGUGUGAAGAAGGCCCUCGGGUUGUAAAGCACUUUCAGUGAGGAAGAACGCCUGGUGGUUAAUACCCAUCAGGAAAGACAUCACUCACAGAAGAAGCACCGGCUAACUCCGUGCCAGCAGCCGCGGUAAUACGGAGGGUGCGAGCGUUAAUCGGAAUUACUGGGCGUAAAGCGCGCGUAGGUGGCUUGAUAAGCCGGUUGUGAAAGCCCCGGGCUCAACCUGGGAACGGCAUUCGGAACUGGCAAGCUAGAGUGCAGGAGAGGAAGGUAGAAUUCGCGGUGUAGCGGUGAAAUGCGUAGAGAUCGGGAGGAAUACCAGUGGCGAAGGCGGCUUACUGGACUGAAACUGACGCUGAGGCGCGAAAGCGUGGGUAGCAAACAGGAUUAGAUACCCCGGUAGUC